This 492-nucleotide ribosomal RNA is filed under the name uncultured bacterium. RNAcentral's name for it is "partial 16S ribosomal RNA". It matches the Rfam family "Bacterial small subunit ribosomal RNA", at positions 30 to 507 of the family's 1533-position model. The record is from RNAcentral.
AUUGAACGCUGGCGGCAUGCUUUACACAUGCAAGUCGAACGGUAACAGGCCUUCGGGUGCUGACGAGUGGCGAACGGGUGAGUAAUGCAUCGGAACGUGCCCAGAGGUGGGGGAUAACGCAGCGAAAGCUGUGCUAAUACCGCAUGUGAUCUGAGGAUGAAAGCGGGGGACCAAGCAGCAAUGUUUGGCCUCGCGCCUCUGGAGCGGCCGAUGUCAGAUUAGGUAGUUGGUGGGGUAAAGGCCUACCAAGCCGACGAUCUGUAGCUGGUCUGAGAGGACGACCAGCCACACUGGGACUGAGACACGGCCCAGACUCCUACGGGAGGCAGCAGUGGGGAAUUUUGGACAAUGGGCGCAAGCCUGAUCCAGCAAUGCCGCGUGCGGGAAGAAGGCCUUCGGGUUGUAAACCGCUUUUGUACGGAACGAAAAGGCUCUGGCUAAUACCUGGGGCUGAUGACGGUACCGUAAGAAUAGGCACCGGCUAACUACGUG